UCUGGACCUACAAUUUCAUUGUUCUAAGGAACUCCCAGUGAGAAAGCAUCAUCAGCCAGAGUUUAGCAGCACUUGCAUUACAGUUUGUUGUGAUGCCUGGAAUUCAAAGAUCAGUGACUUGAGGAGGAAAUUGAGGAAAACGGGGUUAAAGUGACGUGCCCAGGAACACAACAUGAACACUAACCAGUAUUUAAAAAUGCCCCUUUUCUGGACAAGCAAUCCUUGCUUAUGGAGAGCAAAGGAUGGAAUGCUCCAACUGGCUUAUGCCGAAAAUCACACCAGAAGUCUCUCAGAGAGAAGAGAAGAGCAAUGCUGAUUGACCUCCUUGCUAUUCAUCAGAGUGAUAGAUAUGGGACACAAAUGUCCUCUAUAUGUGCAUGUGUGUCAAGAGAAGUAUCUAUGCAUGUGGAAGAUAAAUAGGUGUGUCCUGGCCAUGUUCUUACCACAAAAUCCAAGGAAUUGAGAAACUUCUUUUUGUUGUGUUUGGGCAUUACUCUAAAUAGAUGAGGAAUCCUGGAAACUUUAAGGUCUGUGGAUUUUAAUUGAAUUAAUACUGGUCAUAUUCAUACAUUCAUUCAGCUACAUUCAUUGAGGGCAUGAUCCACUGAACUAUAAGUCCUGACUAUAUAUUGAAUGUGAGCAAAGAAGGGGUAAUAUACAAGAUGAACCAGUGGUAUAAAUUCAAGGCUGUAAAUUAGUCCUCAAAGAUAUCCUUGAGAUUUAGUGAGGUGGAAUUCAUGACUGGGAUAUGCCUACGGAAGGGUUUACCUUAAUGCUUUAUCUUGUCACAAUAGAAACAAAUAUCUCUUAAAAGUUUAUCCACUGUGAAUAGAAUGCGUAGCUGUGCCCUUUAACUGUAAAAACAUGGCAUAAAAGUAUUGGGCAACUGCAUUAGAAUACUUUUGUUUCUACUCAAUGUUGAUUUUAUUUACAUUGUUACUUUCAUGUAUAUUUGGGGGGGAUUUGCUUUCUUUACUUCACACAUGUCCCUUGUUUCACUGAAUUCUUUAUAUUCAUCAUCCAUUAAUUUGAUGAUUUAAUGUAAUUCCAUUACAUUAAAUAACACAAUUUGGUCAUUCAUUUUCAAAUCAUUGGGUAUGUAUUUUGUUUUCAAAAUAUAUGAUUGCCCUGGAUGCAGUUAACAGAGUGCCAGGCCCAGUGCCAAGAAGAUCUGAGACCAAAUCUGACCUCACACAUUAGCUAUGUGACCUUGGGCAAGUCACUGAAACCUACUUGCUUCAGUUUCCUCAACAUCUCUUAAUUCACCAUAAAAGUACUUUGGCUUGCAAAGCUUUAAAACAUAGGAUAGUUUUUUUAUUUACACAGCAAAGACAUAGAAAUGACACUUCUAAGCCUCUAGAGAGUGAGUUAUAAUCCCUCCAGCAGGUUAUAAUUGUGAGAGUAAAAAUGAAUGAAUACU
This 1420-nucleotide long non-coding RNA is filed under the name Monodelphis domestica (gray short-tailed opossum). Its description in RNAcentral is "lncRNA (ENSMODG00000034707.2)". The record is from RNAcentral. Lineage: Eukaryota; Metazoa; Chordata; Mammalia; Didelphimorphia; Didelphidae.